RNAcentral lists this long non-coding RNA (1605 nucleotides) under Homo sapiens (human). Its description in RNAcentral is "HSALNT0224877". Lineage: Eukaryota; Metazoa; Chordata; Mammalia; Primates; Hominidae. The record is from RNAcentral.
CAGGAGGAAGGGUAGGGGGGGCCAAGUUGGCCAGGCCCUUCUUGAUGCUGAAUGGCAGGAGGACUUUGAAGAAGUGACAGGGUCAGAGGUGCCAUCCAGAAAGAUCACCCUGAUCAGAGCUGGGAGAAUGGAGGUGCCGGGCAGGAGCAGAUGCCAGGGCCUGCUUGGAGGCAACUGGAAUACUCCAGAGAUAACCGCUGGUAAGAGUUUGGCUUAUAUUCUUCUACAUUUUUUUCCCCACAAGAAACUGAAAUUUGAAUUUUCUUCUACAAGUGAGAAAAAAAAAAAGUAAAAUCUCUAACUGUCUUAGUGAUGAUAAUUCUGAGAAGACAGGCCCAUUGAGCCAAGUAGGAGGAUAGGUUUCCUGAGGAUGGAGAUGCAGAAAUAGUUGACUUUGCCUUCACGAAGCAUCCUGACAUUUUUAGAUGUGGCUACACUCUGUGGGCCGGAAGUCGAAUUCCCUGGAGGGCUAGAGCUCUCAGUAUUUUGGACAUAUGUGAAGUCAGCACAGGGGGCAGGCGGUAAGUUAACUUGAAGAGAAUUCCAGUUACAAAUUUAGCUCAGCUUCUAAAAAACACUCCCAUCGAAGAGAGAUUCCUGGUUGCUGUGGAACUGCGUCCCCUGUGGGAUUUUCCUUGUGGAGUUAACUAGACACAGUUGUUACUAGGUAGCGGGACAACAGAUUUGCUUAAGAUCUCUUCGAUUUUGACAGUUUGAUGAUGGGUGACUUAUGUGGUAUUGUGGACAUCUGUUGGCUUUAUAUUUUGCCUGCCAAGCAUCCAUACUUUCUUUUUUCUGGUAUCCAUACUCAAUUUUUCUUCUGGUUCACCACCUAUACCGGGUUGAAUAAUGCCUCCCUCCCCACCCCAAUUCAUGUCUACUCGGAAGCUCAGCAUGUGACUUUAUUUGGAAAUAAGAGUCUUUGUGGAUAUAGCUAGGAUGAGGUCAUCCUGGAUUAGGGGGGGUCCUAAGUUCAAGGACUGGUGUUACCAUGAGAAGACACAGAGAAGGAAGGAGAGGCAGAGACUGGAAUGAAAUAACUGGAAGGGAAAGAACACGGAGGAUCGGGAUUGUCAGCGCCUCCAGGAGCUAGGAGAGAGGCCUGGAACGGGCUCUGCCUCAGAACCUCCAGCAGGAACCAACUCUUUGGACACCUUGAUGUUGGGCUUCUGGCCUCCAGGACUGGGAGAAGAUGCAUUUCUGUUGUUUAAGUCCUCCAGUUUGUGGUAUUUGUUAUGGCAGCCCUAGCAAAUUAAUAUACCUCCCAUUUACCCUGUCAAAAUGAUCCGGGGGCUAGUCUCUGUUGUGCUGGGCUCCUAUUAACUUCGGUAGGGAAGGCAUUAGGUUCAGGAGGAUGAGGAAGAGACCCAGAGUCCUCAAAUGAGACAUGGGGUUUUAUUAGCAGGAAGCUUACAUACACAGUGGUCCAGUGGUGGUGGGCUGGGCAGGAGAACCACAACUGCUUCCAAAAGCAUGUGGUUUGUACAGCAUUUUCACCUAGCACCCUCCCUGUAACAAUCUCCACCUGGCAACCCUCGUUUAACUCAAAACAAAGGGCCUCAAUGUCCUGCACGGGCCCUUUACGUUCCAUGCGUCAGGCUGGGG